CUCUUACAGAUGAAUCUUGAAAGAUACCAAGAAGGACUCAUCAAAUAUUACCUGGGAGACAUGGCCUUGAAAGCAUAACCUGUGAAUAUAAUCCAUCUGAGACAGCACUUAACUCCAGACAACUCAAUGAUCAACUCAGGAAAAGCAGCAAACAUGAAAAUUCUAUGGCUGAGGCCAUAUUGCACAUCCUUGGUGGACUGUUAAGAAGAGAAAAGAAAAUCUGUGAAUGCAGUGGAGGCUCACCUUGUUGUCUGCCUGGAGCAGGGAAUAGAUUCUCCCUCUGUGUAACUGGCCUACUUUGCUGUUCCCCACACAGUCUUCAGCAGAGGUGUUAUAUGACUUCCAGAAGUUAAGGACCAUGUUUGUCAGA
Long non-coding RNA from Canis lupus familiaris (dog), 370 nucleotides. RefSeq lists it as uncharacterized. Lineage: Eukaryota; Metazoa; Chordata; Mammalia; Carnivora; Canidae. The record is from RefSeq and is a predicted model, not a curated record. The transcript is spliced from 3 exons.